GAUGAAGAACGCAGCGAAAUGCGAUAAGUAGUGUGAAUGGCAGAAUUCAGUGAAUCAUCGAAUCUUUGAACGCACAUUGCGCCCCUUGGUAUCCCGAGGGGCAUGCCUGUUCGAGCGUCAUUUCACCACUCAAGCCUGGCUUGGUGUUGGGCGACGUCCCCUUUGGGGACGCGCCUCGAAACGCUCGGCGGCGUGGCACCGGCUUUAAGCGUAGCAGAAUCUUUCGCUUUGGAAGUCGGGGCCCCGUCUGCCGGAAGACCUACUCGCAAGGUUGACCUCGGAUCAGGCAGGGAUACCCGCUGAACUUAAGCAUAUCAAUAAGCGGAGGA
This 329-nucleotide unclassified non-coding RNA is filed under the name soil metagenome. RNAcentral describes it as "partial contains 5.8S ribosomal RNA, internal transcribed spacer 2, and large subunit ribosomal RNA". The stretch from base 1 to 120 matches the Rfam family "5.8S ribosomal RNA", at positions 35 to 154 of the family's 154-position model. The record is from RNAcentral.